GCGGAAGCAGUCAGAAGCGGCAAAAAAUUGACUUAAAAUCCCUCGCCGCAAGGCUUACGGGUUCGAUCCCCGUCGUCCGCACCA
This 84-nucleotide transfer RNA is filed under the name Sinorhizobium americanum. Its description in RNAcentral is "tRNA-Leu". Lineage: Bacteria; Pseudomonadati; Pseudomonadota; Alphaproteobacteria; Hyphomicrobiales; Rhizobiaceae. The record is from RNAcentral.